This 67-nucleotide transfer RNA is filed under the name Petillopsis calcar. Its description in RNAcentral is "tRNA-Asn". Lineage: Eukaryota; Metazoa; Arthropoda; Insecta; Hemiptera; Coreidae. The record is from RNAcentral.
UUAAUUGAAGCCAAAAUAGAGGCUUUCUAAUGUUAAUAGAAUCAAUGAUUAAUUAAAUCCAAUUAAA